RNAcentral lists this ribosomal RNA (307 nucleotides) under uncultured eukaryote. Its description in RNAcentral is "partial 18S ribosomal RNA". It matches the Rfam family "Eukaryotic small subunit ribosomal RNA", at positions 1470 to 1796 of the family's 1831-position model. The record is from RNAcentral.
CCCUUAGACGUUCUGGGCCGCACGCGCGCUACACUGACACAGGCAACGAGCUUUCCUUUACCGAAAGGUAUGGGUAAUCUUUUGAAACUGUGUCGUGCUGGGGAUAGAUCCUUGCAGUUUUUGAUCUUAAACGAGGAAUUCCUAGUAAGCGCGAGUCAUCAACUCGCGUUGAUUACGUCCCUGCCCUUUGUACACACCGCCCGUCGCUACUACCGAUUGAAUGGCUUAGUGAGGCCUCAGGAUCCGCGCUUAAUGUGUGGAGAAUUUGGACAAACUACGUCAUUUAGAGGAAGUAAAAGUCGUAACA